UAGAACCUCUGGUUCAAACGAGCAGAAUGAAUCCUUUCAUGUGUUCCCAGGCAAUUUCACCUUCCUAUAUUAUUUUCCUAUAGCCAUUACUAAAGUAUCUGCAGAUUUUCUUAAAAUCAUAUUCCAUUAUUCUCCUUGCAUUCCAAGGAUUUAACUACAUUUUUUUCUUCUGUCUACAUUUCUCACUUACUUCCAUGUAGACUGAGUUGGUUUACUGGUCUUAAGCAUUUCACUCUCUGAAUUUUCUGCAGCCAAUCCUAAACAGUGGGAGUGACCUUUUUUGUUGUUGUUUUCUUCUAAAUUACUCUCUACCCGAGAAAUAGUACAGAGCCGGAGAGGAGGAAAGAGCCAAUGAAACUCCACAUGAAACUCAUUGUCGGCCGUCUCAUGGGAUAUCUUUGAACUGUUCAACAGCCUCGAGGCCAAACUGUCUUUGUUUGUUCAGGAGCUUCCUCUGUGCAAUGACAGCAAACCUCACUCUAAAACCUGGGCAAAUCUAAUACAACUACCUGCAUGGCUCCAUACCACAACAGGUAUCGUCCCGGAAAAAAACCACCAGCAGCAUCAUUUGCCCACCUCAAAACCACGCGGACUCCGACUGCUGGUCACUAUCACAGGUUUUGUUUUCUUGGCAGGCAAAAACAGCUUUUACUCAAAGGAAAGGGAGAGACCAACGCUAACUUUGUGUCCAAUGCUGGUUUCAAACCAUCAGAUGCUCGAGCACAUGUGGAAACAGGGGGUUACCGAGUGAUGGG
This is a long non-coding RNA of Scophthalmus maximus (turbot), 755 nucleotides long. RefSeq lists it as uncharacterized. NCBI's taxonomy places the organism in Eukaryota, Metazoa, Chordata, Actinopteri, Pleuronectiformes, Scophthalmidae. The record is from RefSeq and is a predicted model, not a curated record. The transcript is spliced from 3 exons.